GAUCUGUAGUCUUGGACCUGCACUGGGUUGGUGGUACCCUAGAGCACACCAGACUUGCAGAGAAAGCAUACUCCAGAGGAAGCUGAGGCAUGCCUGCUCAAGGGCCAGCGGUUCCAUGUGCAAUUUUCCUCUGAUAGUUCCUGGGUACUGUUGCCACGGUGAUAAUGGCUGUGCCGUGUCAUUGUCGAUCCACCAACAGUCAGAGAAGCUUUGCAGUCAAGAUAUUGUUUGGCAGACGGAGUGGUUUCUGUUGGACACUAAGUACUGCUACAAAA
Molecule: non-coding RNA, 275 nt
Organism: Meriones unguiculatus (Mongolian gerbil)
Lineage: Eukaryota; Metazoa; Chordata; Mammalia; Rodentia; Muridae
Source: Ensembl